GGCUCUGUGAUUACUUUGCCUUAUCGGCAGUAUACGCUAUUCUGAAAACAGAGUAUGAAGAGGAUAAUUUAUACUAAAUGAGAGCC
Eutrema salsugineum is the source of this 86-nucleotide small nucleolar RNA. It matches the Rfam family "Small nucleolar RNA U54". Rfam says of the family: U54 is a C/D box small nucleolar RNA, which acts as a methylation guide for 18S ribosomal RNA in plants. Lineage: Eukaryota; Viridiplantae; Streptophyta; Magnoliopsida; Brassicales; Brassicaceae. The record is from Rfam.